Molecule: long non-coding RNA, 1281 nt
Filed under: Equus caballus (horse)
Lineage: Eukaryota; Metazoa; Chordata; Mammalia; Perissodactyla; Equidae
Description: lncRNA (ENSECAG00000052186.1)
Source: RNAcentral
AUUUUGUUUUGUGGGUGAUCUCUCUGCUCUUUUAUUAAGGGAAGAUCAUUUUAUGAGAGCUAAGAGUAUUUGCAUUCCUAGCAUGGGAAGAAGUUUAAAUUCCCAACCAACACAUUGUUCAAGCAAGUAAAAAGAACUGGAGAGUUUCCGCAAGAAUAUGCUGCUUGGAAUUGUGGCCAUGAGAUGACGGGCCUGAGGACCAAAGGCACCAGUGUAGGAUUGACAAGAUAGAAGGGCAGAAACGUCUUGAUGUCGUGAUGAUAUCACUGAGCCACUGUUACAACCCUGGGAUCAUGUACCCCGAUCUCUUGCUGAAGCCACUUUCAGUUUAGGAUCUGCGGAGAGGAAGAUAUGCCAGUGGGAAGUCACUGUGGAAGACAGUUUGGCAGUUUCCUACAAAACUAAGCCUACCCUUACCGUACCCUCUAGCUAUCCUGCUCCUCGGUAUUGACCCAAAGGAACUGAAAACGUGUCCACACGCAUACCUGCACUCGGAUGUUUAUAGCAGCUUCAUUCAUAACUGCCAAAACUUGGAAAGAACCAAGACGUUCUUCAGGAGGUAAAUGGAUAAAUAAACUGUGGUGUUAUCCGGACAGUGGAAUAUUAUUCAGUUCUGAAAAGAAAUGAGCUAUCAAACCAUGAAAAGACGUGGAGGAAACUUAAAGGCAUAUUACUAAGUGAAAGAAGCCAAUCUGAAAAGAUGACAUAUGAACAAAAUGGAACCCUCCUCCAACAGACCUGUUCUGCACCAGCAGAUGAAGCGUUGGGUUCUGCCAAACGACCUCUAUCAUUUUAUAACAGCACUGUUGGGGGGAGGGGCAAAGCAUAUAGAUGGUAAGCACAUUUUCUUGCUUAAUUUUGCGCAAGGAACAAAGGUUAUCCAAAGAGGGCUGGAUUUUAGUGAACUGCACAGAACCCAGCAGAGAAAAGAGGUGUGGAAAAUGGCAAUUAGGUAAGAUAUGACAAUUUUCUACAAGUUUAUAAAGCUCAAACUUAAGAGAAUACUUUUGAGAAUUUGAAGAAGUGUAUGUGAGGGAUGUUAUGACAUUAGGUGAAGUGGAGGAAGGAGCAGAGAGAGGCUGAGGUAGACCAAGAUCACUGCAGCAGCCUUUGAUUUGGUUUAAUUGAUGGAGCACAAAAAAAGAAAAAAAGGAGAAAAAGAAUGAGGAGAUGGUGAAAUUGACAAAUGUAAAAUACUGUAAGAGAAAUUCCUGUAGCUUGUCUAGAGCAGAAGUGGAAAAGUUUGUUAUACUAGGAAAUAGUCAUUUAAAUGGAAAGAUG